CUGCAGCUGCAACUCGACUGCACGAAGCUGGAAUCGCUAGUAAUCGCGGAUCAGCACGCCGCGGUGAAUACGUUCCCGGGCCUUGUACACACCGCCCGUCACACCAUGGAAGUCUGCAAUGCCCGAAGCCGGUGGCCUAACCACUUAUGUGGAAGGAGCCGUCUAAGGCAGGGCAGAUGACUGGGGUGAAGUCGUAACAAGGUACC
This 206-nucleotide ribosomal RNA is filed under the name uncultured bacterium. RNAcentral's name for it is "partial 16S ribosomal RNA". It matches the Rfam family "Bacterial small subunit ribosomal RNA", at positions 1298 to 1500 of the family's 1533-position model. The record is from RNAcentral.